Molecule: long non-coding RNA, 231 nt
Filed under: Elaeis guineensis (African oil palm)
Lineage: Eukaryota; Viridiplantae; Streptophyta; Magnoliopsida; Arecales; Arecaceae
Description: long non-coding RNA (EGUI_LNC002148)
Source: RNAcentral
CUCCCUUUGUUGGUCCUAAGCCCUACCACUACCAACUGGAUUGAAAUGAUUCAUCACCGAAUUUCGUUAAAGAAUCGGCUGCUCUGUUCCAUGUUCCUCUUUCUUGCUUUUUUGUUUGAUUUUUCUUCCACACGAUCUACUAUGAUUUGGGGCCAAGGCUCCUACCGGAGCUCUAAUCGAGCUCUCAGCCACUCCCAUAACCAAAGUUAGAGUCUUCGUCGGUUGAUAAGC